CGGUGAGUAUAAAACCCUGAGUGAGCUGCUAAAGAAUGACCAGAUCGAAUUAUCCACAUCGUCAACGUUUAUAGCUUCAAUUUCCGAGUUUGCAUUCCACCUCUCAAGAUGUUUAAGACCAUCGUACUUGUACUUGCCAUCGCAUUGAUUGCUACUGCUAUGCCCCAACGUGGCGGUGGAUACGGAAAUGGAGGCGGACAGUAUGGCGGACAGUAUGGCGGAUACGGUGGGCAUCACGAUGAUGGGUAUCGGGGACAUAAUCAGGGUCAUGGCCAGGACCAUGGCCACGGCCAUAACCACGGUCACCAUCGAGGAUAUGGUCGUUAAAUCAAGAAUCGAUAUGGCGAACCGGAAAUCGUGAAACAAAUAAUACGUUCACUGAUCGUUCGGGAUGUGCAAGAGUCCUGCGUCGAGCUUCAAAUUUUCCGAAAAUUUUCCACCACUUUGCAACAGUCCAAUGAAACCAGAAAGGACAACAUCUAUUUUAAAUUAAAACGCACCGUGUUCUUUUACGCUUUCUUAACUUUUCGUUCUUUGUAUUUUCUUUUUUAAUAUGUUAUGGUUACGCGCCAUCGAUGUAAUACAAUUAUUUGUUCAUUCCGUUACAGGAUUUUACGAAUAAAAAUAUGAUUACAUCGAUUUUUCAUCAUGAUUGUUUUGUUCUAGUACGUAAACUUGGUAUAUUAAAUUUUUAAUCGUGUUAGUGGAUGGAAUUAAUUCUGGGUGCAGUAUUGUUCGGAAGCCUUCCUUCAUUUGUCAAUCACUGACUAUACUGAGAGAAAAAUUUACCCAUUUAAAAUAAAUGCUUUCAUUAACAUUAGGUGAAUAUUAGAACUUACGAGACUAUGAAAAAAUAUUUCGCUCUAGAAUGGCUUAAUGAAAUGCGACGUUACCACGUCACAAUAUAGCAAUGAAAUACUUCUAUUAAAUAAAGGCAAUUACUCAUUA
Neodiprion fabricii is the source of this 948-nucleotide long non-coding RNA. RefSeq lists it as uncharacterized. The transcript is spliced from 2 exons. Lineage: Eukaryota; Metazoa; Arthropoda; Insecta; Hymenoptera; Diprionidae. The record is from RefSeq and is a predicted model, not a curated record.